RNAcentral lists this ribosomal RNA (1735 nucleotides) under Parabacteroides distasonis. Its description in RNAcentral is "partial 23S ribosomal RNA". It matches the Rfam family "Bacterial large subunit ribosomal RNA", at positions 1 to 1745 of the family's 2925-position model. The record is from RNAcentral. Lineage: Bacteria; Pseudomonadati; Bacteroidota; Bacteroidia; Bacteroidales; Tannerellaceae.
AUAAGAAAGUAAGCAAGGGCAGACGGUGGAUGCCUUGGCUCUCGGAGGCGACGAAGGACGUGAUAAGCUGCGAUAAGCUGGGGGGAGAUGCAAAUAAUCUUUGAUCCUCAGAUUUCCGAAUGGGGCAACCCGGCAGGUUGAAGGCCUGUCAUCCCGUAAGGGAGGCGAACGUGGGGAACUGAAACAUCUAAGUACCCAUAGGAGGAGAAAAUAAGAAUGAUUCCGCAAGUAGUGGCGAGCGAACGCGGAAGAGCCCAAACCGGUAUUGUUUAGGCAAUACCGGGGUUGUAGGACCACGUUGUGGCAAGAACUUAGGAAAGUGGAACACUUUGGAAAAAGUGAUCGUAGAGGGUGAAAAUCCCGUACACGACUUUCUAACGAAGCCUAGUGGUAUCCUGAGUAGCGCGGAGCACGAGAAAUUCUGUGUGAAUUAGCGGGGCCCAUCCCGUAAGGCUAAAUACUCCCGAGAGACCGAUAGCGAACCAGUACCGUGAGGGAAAGGUGAAAAGAACCUCGAACAGAGGAGUGAAAUAGACCCUGAACCCGUCUGCCUACAAGCGGUCGGAGCAACGUAAGUUGUGACGGCGUGCCUUUUGCAUAAUGAACCUACGAGUUACUUUCUCCGGCAAGGUUAAGUAUUUCAGAUACGGAGCCGAAGCGAAAGCGAGUCUGAACAGGGCGACAUAGUCGGAGGGAGUAGACGCGAAACCAAGUGAUCUACCCAUGGUCAGGUUGAAGGUUAGGUAACACUAACUGGAGGACCGAACCGGUAAGCGUUGAAAAGCUUUCGGAUGAACUGUGGGUAGGGGUGAAAGGCUAAUCAAACUUGGAGAUAGCUCGUACUCCCCGAAAUGCAUUUAGGUGCAGCCUUUAUUUAGUAUAGCAUGAGGUAGAGCGACUGAUUGGAUGCGAGGGCUUCACCGCCUAUCAAGUCCAGAUAAACUCCGAAUGCGUGCUAUAUAUUGAUAAGGAGUGAGGGCGCGGGUGCUAAGGUCCGCGUCCGAGAGGAGAAGAAUCCAGACCAUCAGCUAAGGUCCCCAAAUAACAGUUAAGUUGAACUAACGAAGUCAGACUGCAGAGACAGCUAGGAUGUUGGCUUGGAAGCAGCCAUUCAUUUAAAGAGUGCGUAACAGCUCACUAGUCGAGGAGUUUGGCGUGGAUAAUACUCGGGCAUAAACUGUUUACCGAAGCUAUGGAUCCAGAGUAAUGGAUGGUAGGGGAGCAUUCCAGUGGCGUUGAAGGUGAGGGAUAACCCUUGCUGGAGUAGCUGGAAAAGCAAAUGUAGGUAUAAGUAACGAUAAAGGAAGUGAGAAACUUCCUCGCCGAAAGACUAAGGUUUCCUGAUCAACGUUAAUCGGAUCAGGGUAAGUCGGGACCUAAGGAUAAGCCGAACGGCGAUUCCGAUGGAAGAAUGGUUUAAUAUUCCCAUACUACUUUAUAGAGCGAUGUGGAGACGGAGAAGUGACAGUCCUGCCAACUGACGGAAUAGUUGGUUAAAGGGUGUAGACGUUGAUCGCGGUAGGCAAAUCCGCCGUGAGAGUCGAACCUGAGAGUAUGCCGAGUACUUGUACAAGGCAAUAUGGAUGUAAACAGGCUCCCUAGAAAAUCCGCUAAGCAUAUCUAUAGAGUACCCGUACCGUAAACGGACACACGUAGUUGGGUUGAGAAUACUGAGGCGCUCGAGUGAUUCACGGUUAAGGAACUAGGCAAAUUGACCCUGUAACUUCGGGAUAAA